UAUACUUGCGGCGGGGCCCGUUGCCAGCUCCGUCCACAUGUCUGUUCGGGGGAUGCCAUCGUGGGGCCUGGUCGCGUCGGCCACACUGUCAGGGGCUCGUUCACCUGCGCAUCUACCGAUGUGGUAUAUGCCGUCGUGUGCCGGCGAUGCCCCUCUGCCAUGUGCAUUGGCCAAACUGGACAGUCUCUACGCGAGGGAAUGGGUG
Molecule: long non-coding RNA, 205 nt
Organism: Dermochelys coriacea (leatherback sea turtle)
Lineage: Eukaryota; Metazoa; Chordata; Testudines; Dermochelyidae
Exons: 3
Source: RefSeq, a predicted model, not a curated record